Molecule: ribosomal RNA, 321 nt
Filed under: Aspidoscelis tigris punctilinealis
Lineage: Eukaryota; Metazoa; Chordata; Lepidosauria; Squamata; Teiidae
Description: partial 12S ribosomal RNA
Rfam family: Bacterial small subunit ribosomal RNA
Source: RNAcentral
AUUUGUCCGCCAGAAGAUUACGGGCGAGAGCCUAAAAUUCAAAAGACUUGACGGUGUCCCACUUCUACCUAGAGGAGCCUGUUCCAUAAUCGAUACUCCCCGAUCAACCCGACCUCUCCUUGAAACCCCAUUCAGCCUAUAUACCGCCGUCCUUUCCCGCUUACCUUUUGAAAGAUUAACAGUAAGCCUAAUAGUUUCUCAACUAAAAAAUCAGGUCAAGGUGUAGCUUAUGGAGAGGAGAAAAUGGGCUACAUUUUCUACAAUAGAAAACCACGGAAAGUAUUCUGAAAUAAAAUACACAAAGGUGGAUUUAGAAGUAAG